RNAcentral lists this ribosomal RNA (253 nucleotides) under uncultured bacterium. Its description in RNAcentral is "partial 16S ribosomal RNA". It matches the Rfam family "Bacterial small subunit ribosomal RNA", at positions 524 to 776 of the family's 1533-position model. The record is from RNAcentral.
UACGUAGGGGGCAAGCGUUGUCCGGAUUUCUUGGGCGUAAAGAGCGUGUAGGCGGCCUGAAAGGUCAGCUGUGAAAACUCGAGGCUCAACCUCGAGACGUCGGUUGAAACCAUCUGGCUAGAGUCCGGAAGAGGAGAGUGGAAUUCCCGGUGUAGCGGUGAAAUGCGCAGAUAUCGGGAAGAACACCCGUGGCGAAGGCGGCUCUCUGGGACGGUACUGACGCUGAGACGCGAAAGCGUGGGGAGCGAACAGG